Molecule: long non-coding RNA, 1473 nt
Filed under: Bos grunniens (domestic yak)
Lineage: Eukaryota; Metazoa; Chordata; Mammalia; Artiodactyla; Bovidae
Description: lncRNA (ENSBGRG00000016047.1)
Source: RNAcentral
AACAGAACAAACAGCACUCCUGGCUAAGCCCAAUUCGCAUAGGGCAGGCCCAGGUGGAGGAAAAACAUAUAAAAGGAGGAGCCAAAGUGCUUUCUCUUGGACUCUCUCUCCCACGUGCGCACAUGAGCUCGCUCUCUCGCAGCGCUCUCUCUCUCUCCCACGCACUCCUCCACUCUCUUCUCUUCGAGUCUUGGAUUCUCCUGCUAUCUUCUAAGUAAAAUGGAGCUGUAACACUGAUUUGCUUAAGAGCUGUAACACGGUUUGUCCAAGACCCGAGAGCUGUGAUGCGCCGAGGGCUUUAAUGUCCAUUGCUCCAAAUCUAUGUUGUGACGAGACAAAGAACUGAGGAACAUACACUCGUGUGACACCUCUAUUGAUUUGAAGUAAAGAGUUUGGCUUUUUCAACUACAUCUGUCUGUUAAAACUGUCAGAUUGUGAUCCUCCUCCUUUGGGAAAGAGGAAGAGGAGCAUUUCAGCCUGAACAAGAGGGACCCAGGCCCAUUCGCCUCCACUAGUCCAUCUGCAGAAUCUGGAGGAGAACUGAGGUUAUCAUCAGAACCUAGUGACAUCAGGACAUCACGUGUGGUUUUCAGUGUCCUCCAGGGUGGACACAUCAAGUCCGGGAACGACACUGACAUUCAGACAGACACUACGUUCAGCCCUCUUCCUGGAGGCGAGGCAUCCUGUAUCAUCAUCCUUUCUUCUGAGUAAGAACUUGACUUCCUCUCUAACACUUAGACAGUGAACAGGGUAACUGCAGAAAAAGUCCACUGCCCACGGCAGACGUAGCUCGACUUCCUCCACACACAGGUAAGCUUCCUUAAGAAAGAAUUUUGGCAACUGGAUCUGGUCCCGGUUGGGUGGCUCUGGACCGCUCAUUUGAUGUUGAAUGCCAUCAAGGGUCUCUCCUCCCGUUUCUGCCACGGGCUCUUCUUGUCUUCGCCCUGGUCGUCAUCAUCCUCGCCGCCUUCCUCAUCCUGUGGAGCGGAUCUCCUCUGGUCGGGACUGGCCGCUGGCUCAGGGCAACGUCCGAAAUUCGCCGUCGUCUCCUCCUGCAGGCUGGGCAGCUGGCGCCGCUCCUCCGGCUGGAGCCGUCCAGCAGGCACCGCAGAGCACUGUCCUCUGGUGUCCCGGCCGUGGUGCCGCCGCUGCCGCUCUGGUCCAUGUCCUCCAGGAGCUGGACCUCGCUGUUCAUCUGAGCCAAGGCCGCGUCGUUCAGAGAUGCUGGGAUGGAGAGCGACUCCGACAUGGAUGCGCUCUGCGGGUCCACUCCCGGCGCCCGUGUCCUGCAGGUGCUGCUGCGAGAUGGCCUGGCAAGAGAGGGGCUGCGCUUGGAUCUGCGCGGAGGGUGUGGGAAGAUCCCUGCAUGCGGGCUGGAUAGCUCGGCCUGCAGCCUUCGAUCUCCAGCUGCGGGUCGGCUGGGACGACCAGGGCUGGCCCACGCACGAAUGGUCCCCUGGGAGUUUCAUGUAA